CGCAUCUGUGCAUGCAGCAUAUCAAUAAGCGGAGGAAAAGAAACUAACAAGGAUUCCCUUAGUAACGGCGAGUGAAGCGGGAAGAGCUCAAAUUUGAAAUCUUCAAGGUUUUACCUUGACGAGUUGUAGUUUAAAGAAGUGUUUUCUGCUGAAGUUUUGGUAAAAGUUCUUUGGAAUAGGACAUCAUAGAGGGUGAGAAUCCCGUAUUUGACCAUUAUUUUCAGCUUUGUGAUACACUUUCAAAGAGUCGGAUUGUUUGGGAAUGCAGUCCAAAAUGGGUGGUAAAUUUCAUCUAAAGCUAAAUAUUGGCGAGAGACCGAUAGCGAACAAGUACCGUGAGGGAAAGAUGAAAAGAACUUUGAAAAGAGAGUUAAACAGUACGUGAAAUUGUCAAAAGGGAAGCGUUUGACACCAGUGUUGUUUUCUCGAAAAUCAAUUAAAAAUGGCUCGAUUUUGUAUUGCUUGAGACCUUAAAAGCUCACUGUACAUUUUUCGUGUCUUUUUUAAUGCACUUUUCGUUUAACAAGUCAACAUCAGUUUCUUUUGUUGUAAAAGGGUCAUUGGAAGGUGGCUUUCUUUUCGGAGAAAGUGUUUAUAGCCUUUGGCCUCUGCAAUCGGAGAGACUGAGGUCUGCAGCGUAGACUCUUCGGGGUUAGAUACAUUUGUGCUAAGUUAUAGCUUUUUCAUAGACAACUUGUUGACUAUAAUUAGUCUUGUAGCUUACUCGCUUAUGCUAUUUUACCUACGCUUAGGAUGUUGACGCAUGAGAUAUACGC
RNAcentral lists this ribosomal RNA (776 nucleotides) under uncultured Neocallimastigales. RNAcentral describes it as "partial large subunit ribosomal RNA". It matches the Rfam family "Eukaryotic large subunit ribosomal RNA", at positions 26 to 612 of the family's 3401-position model. The record is from RNAcentral. Lineage: Eukaryota; Fungi; Neocallimastigomycota; Neocallimastigomycetes; Neocallimastigales.